UACGUAGGGUGCGAGCGUUGUCCGGAAUUAUUGGGCGUAAAGGGCUCGUAGGCGGUUUGUCGCGUCGGGAGUGAAAUCCACUGGCUUAACUGGUGGCUUGCUUUCGAUACGGGCAGACUGGAGGUAUGCAGGGGAGAACGGAAUUCCUAGUGUAGCGGUGAAAUGCGCAGAUAUCAGGAGGAACACCGGUGGCGAAGGCGGUUCUCUGGGCAUGACCUGACGCUGAGGAGCGAAAGUGUGGGGAGCGAACAGG
Molecule: ribosomal RNA, 253 nt
Filed under: uncultured bacterium
Lineage: Bacteria
Description: partial 16S ribosomal RNA
Rfam family: Bacterial small subunit ribosomal RNA
Source: RNAcentral